AAUUGAAGAGUUUGAUCAUGGCUCAGAUUGAACGCUGGCGGCAGGCCUAACACAUGCAAGUCGAACGGUAACAGGAAGCAGCUUGCUGCUUUGCUGACGAGUGGCGGACGGGUGAGUAAUGUCUGGGAAACUGCCUGAUGGAGGGGGAUAACUACUGGAAACGGUGGCUAAUACCGCAUAACGUCGCAAGACCAAAGAGGGGGACCUUCGGGCCUCUUGCCAUCAGAUGUGCCCAGAUGGGAUUAGCUUGUUGGUGAGGUAACGGCUCACCAAGGCGACGAUCCCUAGCUGGUCUGAGAGGAUGACCAGCCACACUGGAACUGAGACACGGUCCAGACUCCUACGGGAGGCAGCAGUGGGGAAUAUUGCACAAUGGGCGCAAGCCUGAUGCAGCCAUGCCGCGUGUAUGAAGAAGGCCUUCGGGUUGUAAAGUACUUUCAGCGGGGAGGAAGGUGUUGCGGUUAAUAACCGCAGCAAUUGACGUUACCCGCAGAAGAAGCACCGGCUAACUCCGUGCCAGCAGCCGCGGUAAUACGGAGGGUGCAAGCGUUAAUCGGAAUUACUGGGCGUAAAGCGCACGCAGGCGGUCUGUCAAGUCGGAUGUGAAAUCCCCGGGCUCAACCUGGGAACUGCAU
Molecule: ribosomal RNA, 635 nt
Filed under: Salmonella enterica subsp. enterica serovar Typhimurium var. Copenhagen str. 0084
Lineage: Bacteria; Pseudomonadati; Pseudomonadota; Gammaproteobacteria; Enterobacterales; Enterobacteriaceae
Description: bacterial SSU rRNA
Rfam family: Bacterial small subunit ribosomal RNA
Source: RNAcentral